This 1619-nucleotide long non-coding RNA is filed under the name Olea europaea subsp. europaea. The record is from RNAcentral. Lineage: Eukaryota; Viridiplantae; Streptophyta; Magnoliopsida; Lamiales; Oleaceae.
CUAGCUCAGAUAGGUGAAGAAGGAGGCACAAUUUCUAAAACCAAAGGCCCUUAAAUCUGAGCCUUGACAAUAAGGGACUUCGAUCCUACAGACCUUUGUGAGGGAGGGAAGGAUAGGCUGUACAGUUGCACCCCCAAGAGGAAUGUGAUCACUCUCUUCAGGUAUGUUAGAGCUUGAAUCCUUCGAUGAAGAAUUCUGUUGGCUUUGAUAAUAUAAAUUCAAGGCAUAACAACCAAAGGGUUGGGUUAUUAGGUUGAAAUCCCUAUUGCCUCGAACAAAAAAACUCUCAUCUAGUUAAGCACCUGGGUAGGAGAAAACUACAAGUUAUGGGCAUGAUUGAUUAUGAGUGGAACAUAUGCACUUAAUUUUAUAAUUUGUAAACAUAUUUUUGUAUUAUAUGCAAUUUGAAUAACAUUUUUUCAAUUUAAAUCUGUUAUACUCGCAUUAUUAAAUAUUUCUUUAACCUUUUUACAUUGCAAGUCUUAGGAAAGUGAGAGAAUGUAAUAGUAGCUCUUUUAGAGUUUGCAUUAUUCCUUGUUGGCAUGAGAUGGUAAAUAGAACAAAACACAUCUGAUAAGUGUGUUUUUGCACACUUAUUUAGGUUACAAACAUGACUUAAUAAUGAGCAAAAUGAUUGAAUUGUGACUUAAUCUCGUUAUAUUUGUGAAUUGUAGGGAACACCGAUGAACAUGCUAAAAUUUAGAAGAAAAGAGCCGAAAAAAGACUAGAAUGGAGCAAAGUGAUAGUUCGAGGACCAACUUGCAAAUGAUCCAUAGAUGAGACCGGAAAUGGAAUGAAGAUUCAAGAGUGUUAGAGGUUAAUCGGAUGAGUAAAGGAGUCAAGAGGUGAAAUACGAUCGAAGUAUUAUCAAGUAUCAACUUUCAGGCGAAAAAGCUAUGCUCGUGAAUUUUAAUCUCUACUUGAGAUCCAUUUUUGACAUAGUAAACAUUAGAAUUUGAGGAAGCCUAUUUCUAUCAAAAGUGUAGAUCUUUGAGUUUUCUUCACAAUGCACUUUGAAUCACUUCAAUCGAAGAUCAGGAGAGAAAGUUAUGACCAAAAUACUAAAAAUUGUCCAGCGGAAAGAAUGGUAUAACCAUGCGGUCGCAUAGUAUAAAUUCUAUGCGGUCGCAUAGAAGCCUCCCGAGAACUUUUUCUCAAAUUUUUUUUACUCUAUGCGACAGCAUAGAAAUGUACUAUGCGGUCACAUAGAACAGGAUUUGGGGCCGAUUCAGCAGUUUCCUUAUUUCGCCGAAACUCUUAUGGAAAGGAGAUUUUUAGGGUUCUAUAUAAACUAAAACUCGACCAGAAUGAUGGGACACCACUUUUACAGAAUUGGAGGGUAUAAUACACAAUUUUGGAGGAUUUGGAGAGGAAGAACAAGGCAAAAACAAGGCAAUCCACUUCAAGAUUCAAGAUUUUACUUCAAGAAUCAAUUGGCUGAUGUUCUUCCUUGGUUUUAAUUAUUGCUUUUCUUUAUUUCCUAUUAUGUUAGGCUAGAUUUUCAUGUGCUAGGAUUUGCGAUGAACCUUACAUUAUGAACCCUUAAUCUUGAAUUUUAUUUAUUUGACGUUAAAACAUGUUUUUAAUUAUUGAAUGAUUGGCAUGGAUUUUAUUUUCUC